CCUCUUUCCAUGCCUUCGAUCCACCUUUGGAAAACAGAUUAAUUAUAUACCAAAUGGUUGUAACACGCCUCACCAGCUAAGGCAUGAAAUGAUUAUUGUCAAGAUUUCGUAUUUCAGAAUCAGAUUUGCUUUGCUAGCUUCGGAUUAAGACUUGGGACAUCAAGAAGUAGAUCGAAGAAGUACUAUAGUUGGUAAUUUUCUUUGGAAUUCAAAGGGGGAAAAAAGGGCAGAUGCUAGAAAAGGAGAAAUGGGAUCGACAGAAGUUAUUUACUGACAAGUUUGGCCAUUCUUGGAGGAUUUAUCUUCUUGUGUAUGCAGAAGAAAAUUUUAAAAAAAUUGGAAAUAUAAUAAUUGGUGCUAAAUUUACCCACGUUGCAUAGUAUUUUCAAUACAACCAAACGUCAUAGGGUACAUGUGGCAAG
Molecule: unclassified non-coding RNA, 422 nt
Filed under: Hevea brasiliensis (rubber tree)
Lineage: Eukaryota; Viridiplantae; Streptophyta; Magnoliopsida; Malpighiales; Euphorbiaceae
Source: RNAcentral